Bos taurus (domestic cattle) is the source of this 4201-nucleotide long non-coding RNA. The record is from Ensembl. Lineage: Eukaryota; Metazoa; Chordata; Mammalia; Artiodactyla; Bovidae.
AUAAUAGAUGCCUCUGAGCAAGUGGAAGAGAUUCACACCAGAGUGCCAGAAAGGGAGGAAACACACUUUGUUUUUGGUGGGAUAAAUGUUCUGAAAUUACUUGUUCUACAGCUGGGAUUGAGCCUCCGUGGUGGCUCAGAUGGUAAAGAAUCCACUUGUAAUGUGGGUCGAGACCUAGGUUUGAUCCCUGUUGGGAAGAUCCCCUGGAGGAGGGCAUGGCAACUCUCUCCAGUAUUGCCUGGAGAAUUCCACGGACAGAGGAACCUGGCGGGCUACACAGUCCAUGGGGUCGCAGAGAGUCAGACACAACUAAGCGACUAAGCGCACAGCACAGCACAGCUGGAAUUGCUUCUUCCGAACUAUUGUUAUUAAAUAAGAAUACAAAGAUUCUGUGACCGGGAAAAUUUCUCAUCAGGGUACUCCAGGCCUGGGAAAUCCAGACAAGCAUGUGUAGCCUUACCUCCAUCCCUUCAGUUUUUUUUUUUUUUUUUUUUCUUUUUUAAUUGGAGGAUAAUUGCUUUACAAUAUUGUGUUGGUUUCUGCCAUACAUCAAUACGAAUCAGCCAUAGGUAUAAUACAUCCGCCCCUUCCUUGAACCUCCCUCCCACCUCUCACCCCAUCCCACCCCUCUAGGUUGUCACAGAGCACCAGGUUUGAACUCCUUCAGUUCAUUUACUCUUGGGAAUCUUGACCUCCAUCACUGACUGGCUGAUUCCUUUCCAGGUCUGUACUUAUAUGUCCUACCCCUGUUUGUGGGGUAGGAUUCUGUCUUUGCCACAGGGGCCACUUUCUCCCUCCUUUCUGAGGAAAAACAAGUGGUAAGGUCUGAUGAAGACGGGCCCAGGGAAGGCAGACCAUGGCAUAAGAGCAGCUCCGGCCGUCCGAUGGCAUCACAGAAGGACCCAUACCCCAGAGCUGACCUAGGGGCAUUCAGAAGCCUAAAGGCGAGACACUACAAGAAGGACAAGAGUAUAACCAAUCUCAGUUCUCUCCAUCUCCUCCUCCCUUGCAGCAAGGAAGACCUAAGACUGAGCCUCUGCUGUGCCAACUGCUUGUGUAGGGCCCUUGGUAUCCACACUUGGCUCUGGUUGGGAAGGAGGUCCUAAGGUUUGACCUGGGAAAUCUGAGCAGACUGUUCCUGGGAUACAUAGAUUCAGUUCAGUUCAGUUCAAUCACUUAGUCAUGUCCCACUCUUCAUGACCCCAUGGACCACAGCACGGUAGGCUCCCCUGUCCAUCCCCAACUCUCAGAGCUUGCUCAAACUCAUGUCCGUCGAGUCCGUGAUGCCAUCCAACUAUCUCAUCCUCUGUCAUCCUCUUUCUUCCUUCAGUCUUUCCCAGCGUCAGGGUCUUUUCUAAUGUGAAGUCAGCUCUUCACAUCAGGUGUCCAAAAAAAGUAUUGGAGCUUCAGCUUCAGCAUCAGCAUCAGUCCUUCCAAUGAAUAUUCAGGAUUGACUUCCUUUAGAAUUGAUUGAUUUGAUCUCCUUGCAGUCUGAGGGACUCUCAAGAGUCUUCUCCAACACCACAGUUCAAAAGCAUCAAUUCUUCAGUGCUCAGCCUUCUUUAUGGUCCAGCUCUCACAUCCAUACAUGACUACUGGAAAAAUCACAGCUUUGACUAGACGGACUUUUGUUGGCAAGCUUUUUAAUAUGCUGUCUAGGUUGGUCAUAGCUUUUCUUUCAAGGAGCAAGUAUCUUUUAAUUUCAUGGCUGCAGUCAACAUCAGCAGUGAUUUUGGAGCCCAAGAAAAUAAAAUCUCUCACUGUUUCCAUUGUUUCCCCAUCUAUUUGCCAUGAAGCGAUGGGACCGGAAGUCAUGAUGGGACUGGAUGCCAUGAUCUUUGUUUUUUGAAUGCUGAGUUUUAAGCCAGCUUUUUCACCCUCCUCUUUCACAUUCAUCAAAAGACUCUUUAGUUCCUCUUUGCUUUCUGCCAUAAGGGUGGUUUCAGCUGCAUAUCUGAGAUUAUUGAUAUUUCUCCCAGCAAUCUUGAUUCCAACUUGUGCUUCAUCCAGCCCAGCAUUUUGCAUGAUGUACUCUGCAUAGAAGUUAAAUAAGCAGGGUGACAAUAUACAGCACUGAUGUACUCCUUUCCCAAUUUGGAACCAGUGUUUUGUUCCAUGUCUAAUUCUAACUGUUGCUUCUUGACCUGCAUACAGAUUUUUCAGGAGGCAGGUAAGGUGGUCUGGUAUUCCCAUCUCUUUAAGAAUUUUCCACAGUUUGUUGUGAUCCACACAGAUAAACGCUUUAGUGCAGUCAAUGAAGCAGACGUUUUUUCUAGAAUUCUCUUUUUCUAUGACUCAACAGAUGUUGGCAAUUUGAUCUCUGGUUCCUCUGCCUUUUCUAAAUCCAGCUUGAACAUCUGGAAGUUCUCCGUUCAAAUACUACUGAAGCUUUGCUUGGAGGAUUUUGAGCAUUACUUUGCUAGCGUGUGACAUGAGUGCAAUUGUGCGGUACUGUGAACAUUCUUUGGCAUUGUCUUUGAGACUGGAAUGAAAAAUGACCUUUUCCAGUUCUAUGGGCAUUGCUAAGUUUUCCAAAUUUGCUGGCAUAUUGAAUGCAGCACUUUCAUAGCAUUAUCUUUAUGAUUUUAAAUAGCUCAGCUGGAAUUUUAUCACCUCCACUAGCUUGCUUUGUUAGUAGUGAUGCUUCCUAAGGCCCACUUCACUUCACAUUCCAGGAUGUCUGGCUCUAGGUGAGUGAUCAUACCAUAGUGGUUAUCUGGGUCCUUAAGAUCUUUUUUGUAUAGUUCUUCUGUGUAUUCUUGCCACCUCUUCUUAGUAUCUUCUGCUUCUGUUGGGUCCAUACCAUUUCUGUCCUUUAUUGUGCCCAUCUUUGCAUGAAAUGUUCCCUUGAUAUUUCUAAUUUUCUUGAGCUCUUAAUCUUUCCCAUUCUAUUCUUUUCCUCUAUUUCUUUGCAUUGAUCACUUAGGAAGGCUUUCUCUCUCCUUGCUAUUCUUUGGAACUCUGCAUUCAGAUGGAUAUAUCUUUCCUUUUCUCCUUUGCUUUUCACUUCUCUUCUUUUUUCAGCUAUUUGUAAGGCCUUCUCAGAAAACCAUUUUGCCUUUUUAAAUUUCUUUUUGGGUUUGGUUUUGAUCACUUCUUCCUGUACAAUGUUACACAUCUCCAUCCAGAGUUCUUCAGGCACUCUAUCUGUCAGAUCUAAUCACUUAAAUCUAUUGUCACUUCCACUGUAUAAUCGUAAGGGAUUUGAUUUAGGUCAUACCUGAAAGGUCUAGGGGCUUCCCUGGUGGAUUCUUUACCAGCUGAGCCACAGGGGAAGCCAGCAAAAAUUAUUAAUUAGUGUUUAAAACUAUAGGUGAAAAGACUGGAGACAACUGUACAUUCAUACAGCGCCAAGUAACACUAUCAGUUUAUAGUCUUGAAGCCAAAAAUGUAAGUGUAUGUUGGAGGGAUCAGACUGUCAUCACUCAUUUCCUGGAAACCAUCCUGGUAUUGCUAACCCAUAGACUAGUUCUGGUGUGAGGCAAAUACAUAGCCCAACCUAGCAUAUAUUCUCCCCACCCCAAAAGAAGUAUUAGAUAUAACCUGCAGUUUACAGGAAAUAGAGGGAGCAAACUAAUGGACACUAGGAGGUGAGGCAGUCUGCAGGGGAACUUGCCUGCUCUCUUCAGCAAGUCAGUAGAUAUAUAAUUUUAAGCCUAAACUGCUAGAUUGAAGAGACUUAAGGUUCACAAUGGGUUUCCCAGGUGGCUCAGCGGCAAAGAAUCUGCCUGCAGUGCAGGAGAUGCAGGAGACUCGGGCUGGAUCCCUGGGUCAUGAAGAUCCCCUGGAGGAGGGCAUGGCGACUCACUCCAGUAUUCUUGCCUGGAGAAUCCCAUGGGCAGAAGAGCCUGAUGGGCUAUAGUCUAUAGGGCUGCAGAGUCAGACACGACUGAAGCAACUGAGCACAUGCACAAGGCACACAAUAGCAAGAAAACACAUAGUCCUGGAUUCCCUACUGGUUUAAACAAAUUGCUACAAAAGGAAUUUGUGGUCAACUGGAAAUGUUUUAAUAUGGAGAGGGUAUUAGAUGAGGUGAAAAUGUACUGAGACGGAAAGGUCAAAAUCAUUAAUAAAAUACCAGUUCCAAAACCACAUGUGCAGGGUAAUCACAUUUUGCUUUUAAAAUGUCUACAUAUCUAAGAAUAAAAAAGACCUGAGAGGAUAUGCAGUAAGGUGUUAACGGUGGUGCUCUCUGAGAGGU